ACACGUACACAACCUGCCUAUGACUGGGGCAUAACUUCGGGAAACUGAAGCUAAUUCCCCAUAACACUGCAGAAAGGCAUCUUUCAGCAGUUAAAGCCCCGGCGGUCAUAGAUGGGUGUGCGUUUGAUUAGCUAGUUGGUAAGGUAACGGCUUACCAAGGCUACGAUCAAUAACUGGUCUGAGAGGAUGAUCAGUCACACGGGCACUGAGACACGGGCCCGACUCCUACGGGAGGCAGCAGUAGGGAAUAUUGGACAAUGGAGGCAACUCUGAUCCAGCCAUCCCGCGUGAAGGAUUAAGGCCCUAUGGGUUGUAAACUUCUUUUCUCUGGGAAUAAAAACCGGGAUUUAUCCUGGCUUGAAGGUACCAGAGGAAUAAGCACCGGCUAACUCCGUGCCAGCAGCCGCGGUAAUACGGAGGGUGCAAGCGUUAUCCGGAUUCACUGGGUUUAAAGGGUGCGUAGGUGGUUUUGUAAGUCAGUGGUGAAAGCCCGGAGCUCAACUCCGGAACUGCCAUUGAUACUGCUUAACUUGAAUCAAGUAGAGGUGGAUGGAAUAAUACAUGUAGCGGUGAAAUGCUUAGAUAUGUAUUAGAACACCGAUUGCGAAGGCAGUUCACUAUGCUUGUAUUGACACUGAGGCACGAAAGCGUGGGGAUCAAACAGGAUUAGAUACCCUGGUAGUCCACGCCCUAAACUAUGUAUACUCGACAUAUGCGAUACACUGUAUGUGUCCAAGCGAAAGCGUUAAGUAUACCA
RNAcentral lists this ribosomal RNA (757 nucleotides) under uncultured bacterium. RNAcentral describes it as "bacterial SSU rRNA". It matches the Rfam family "Bacterial small subunit ribosomal RNA", at positions 113 to 871 of the family's 1533-position model. The record is from RNAcentral.